AAAGGGGGAAGAAGUGUUCGCAUAGAGGAGCUAAGGGACUUGAGCCUUUGCAGUGCUGGUGAGAACUAAAUGCGUCACUGGAUGUCUUUUGGCCAAGGUUUCAUGUAUUUCAGUGACAGGAUCCACUCAGGAGAGUUGGGGCAAGGCUGGCUGAGGUUCUCAAGGACCUGAGUUUUGAGUUCAGGUGCCCGCAUGGCAAUGGAAUGAUGCUUCCUGACCUUUCAGACCUUUGAGACCUCUGGGAGGUCUUAGAAAUCACCUCAAGCCUCCCAUCCAGGAUACGACUGCCUGGGGGAAGUCCAGGGAAAGGUAGCAGAGAUAUCAUGGACUGAAAGGUGAUGGGUCCCCCAAUGAGCUCACUCCAAGAUCUCAAAGAUUCCAAGCCACUGGCUGAUCCAAAGCCUAAAGCCACCGUUCUGGAGAGGCAGCAGGAAGCAAGCCCGGAGGAGGAAGACAGACCCACCUUCUCAGGUGUCCUGAGAGACUGCUGAAGGGCAGUGAGGAAGAUGUUGCUGGUCCCCAGGGCAGAACACAGCAGCCGGGACCAAGAAGCACCUAGAGUGGGACUCAAGCCCAACACCCCUUCUGAUGAAGCUCUCUGAGCUGUGGUUCCAGAUUGGACUGUUUUUUUGCUUUGUCAUCAUCUGCAUAACAUGCACAGUUCUGGAUGCUUUUGAUUGGUUAGCUUUUUUUUUUUUUCCCCCUUUUUCCCUCUCUGUCUUUUCUUUUUCUUCUCUUGGCCCUGGGAAUUAUAAGAAAAGAAUUGCUUUGGAAAGUAUAAUUCUGUUGCUGACAUUAGCCUUAUUUAUGAACAAAUUCUGUCAGUAGGGAUUUUCUGCAUUGCAAUCCCAGGUUACCUGGUAAAUGGGGCUGCGUGGUUUGAUUUGUGUAGCACUGAUCCUUAGAUUAAAAAUACGUUUUCUUUCUUGACUUCUUUUUUUAAGUUUGGAUCCAGGUAAUGGCCUGAGUCACAUUUGCUUAGCUACUGAAGCAAUCUCAAUGUGGUAUCACUUAGAGUUGAAAUACAAUCAAACAUAUAUUAUACCCGGGGCGCUUGCAUGCUCUUUGAUAUAUAUGUUAUGCUCCAAAGAAACACAAACCUAAUAGGCUGAAAUUUAAUUCCUGUCUGAUCCUGCAGCUAGAAUGGGGGAGAAAUUAUAAAUAUCAAACAUGGCUUCAAAGACCCUGAAUGUAAGCUAACCAGCAGUAAGUAGAUGGUUUAGAAAUGCCAUUUGCUAAGGCAAAGCACAAAUUGGAGAUCAACUGACCUCAUCAACAGUGUUGCUCAGGUCUGUCUGUGGAUCUACCCAUUUUGGAGGAAUUAGAGAACAAGGCAUGCUUCUGUGUUUGGGUUUACGGAAAUUGUGGUAUUGCUGACUUAUGUUCUUUCUGUAACUGUGCCUGCCUUGCAAUAAAACACCUUUAGUUGACUCAG
Long non-coding RNA from Hipposideros armiger (great roundleaf bat), 1435 nucleotides. RefSeq lists it as uncharacterized. The transcript has 4 exons. NCBI's taxonomy places the organism in Eukaryota, Metazoa, Chordata, Mammalia, Chiroptera, Hipposideridae. The record is from RefSeq and is a predicted model, not a curated record.